CCUUCGAUAGCUCAGUUGGUAGAGCGGAGGACUGUAGGUUGAUAUCAGUUAUCCUUAGGUCGCUGGUUCAAUUCCGGCUCGAAGGA
This 86-nucleotide transfer RNA is filed under the name Perca flavescens (yellow perch). It matches the Rfam family "tRNA". Rfam says of the family: Transfer RNA (tRNA) molecules are approximately 80 nucleotides in length. Their secondary structure includes four short double-helical elements and three loops (D, anti-codon, and T loops). Further hydrogen bonds mediate the characteristic L-shaped molecular structure. tRNAs have two regions of fundamental functional importance: the anti-codon, which is responsible for specific mRNA codon recognition, and the 3' end, to which the tRNAs corresponding amino acid is attached (by aminoacyl-tRNA synthetases). tRNAs cope with the degeneracy of the genetic code in two manners: having more than one tRNA (with a specific anti-codon) for a particular amino acid; and 'wobble' base-pairing, i.e. permitting non-standard base-pairing at the 3rd anti-codon position. The record is from Rfam by way of RNAcentral. Lineage: Eukaryota; Metazoa; Chordata; Actinopteri; Perciformes; Percidae.